Molecule: non-coding RNA, 78 nt
Organism: Lentithecium fluviatile CBS 122367
Lineage: Eukaryota; Fungi; Ascomycota; Dothideomycetes; Pleosporales; Lentitheciaceae
Source: the annotation of a GenBank genome assembly
GCAUCGGUGGUUUAGUGGUAAAAUUAGCCGUUGCCAAGCAUCCUCGGCUAGCCCCGGGUUCGAUUCCCGGCCGAUGCA